Molecule: long non-coding RNA, 218 nt
Filed under: Ananas comosus (pineapple)
Lineage: Eukaryota; Viridiplantae; Streptophyta; Magnoliopsida; Poales; Bromeliaceae
Description: long non-coding RNA (ACOM_LNC034306)
Source: RNAcentral
AGCUAGUGCAAAAGGUAGGUAGCUAAUGCAACUAGGGCGCUAGGCCCUUACCGCGAUCCUCGCCGUGUGAACUCGCGCUCGGCCCUGCAGUAAAAUGGGGGUGAGAACUAACUUCCUUAGUUCCCAGUGGGUUCGGCCGCCGACUCCGCCGGUCUCCCCACUAGAUCCAAGUGGGCACAAGUAGAUAACCGGAUAGAUAAAUAGGUAAUAAGCAAAGC